RNAcentral lists this ribosomal RNA (497 nucleotides) under uncultured bacterium. RNAcentral describes it as "partial 16S ribosomal RNA". It matches the Rfam family "Bacterial small subunit ribosomal RNA", at positions 28 to 507 of the family's 1533-position model. The record is from RNAcentral.
GAUGAACGCUGGCGGCGUGCCUAAUACAUGCCAGUCGAGCGAACAGACGAGGCGCUUGCUCCUCUGACGUUAGCGGCGGACGGGUGAGUAACACGUGGAUAACCUACCUAUAAGACUGGGAUAACUUCGGGAAACCGGAGCUAAUACCGGAAAAUAUAUUGAACCGCAUGGUUCAAUAGUGAAAGACGGUUUUGCUGUCACUUAUAGAUGGAUCCGCGCCGCAUUAGCUAGUUGGUAAGGUAACGGCUUACCAAGGCAACGAUGCGUAGCCGACCUGAGAGGGUGAUCGGCCACACUGGAACUGAGACACGGUCCAGACUCCUACGGGAGGCAGCAGUAGGGAAUCUUCCGCAGUGGGCGAAAGCCUGACGGAGCAACGCCGCGUGAGUGAUGAAGGUCUUCGGAUCGUAAAACUCUGUUAUUAGGGAAGAACAAAUGUGUAAGUAACUAUGCACGUCUUGACGGUACCUAAUCAGAAAGCCACGGCUAACUACGUG